Molecule: long non-coding RNA, 1498 nt
Organism: Oncorhynchus tshawytscha (Chinook salmon)
Lineage: Eukaryota; Metazoa; Chordata; Actinopteri; Salmoniformes; Salmonidae
Source: Ensembl
UUUACAAGAAGUUAAUCUUUAAAAUGGUAUAUAAUACUUGUAUGUUUGAGGAAUUUUAAUUAUGGGAUUUCUGUUGUUUUAAAUUUGGCGCCCUGCAAUUUCACUGGCUGUUGUCGAGGCGUCCCACUUCUACCAGAGAGGUUAAUGACUCCAACCUAAGUGUAUGUAAACUUCUGACUUCAACUGUAUGUGUGCCCGUGCAUCUAUCAAUCCAAUGUUAUCAUGAUUUGUUAUCAGGGAUAUUAUACUUUAGUAAUCCACAAUGACCUGGUGAUGUAACAGUCUAAUAUUUACAUUGUCUUCCAUAUUCCUACAGAUACCUUGUAACUGGAGAUUCCUUCAAAACGAUUGCCUACAGUUAACUUGUAGGGCACUGCAAGGUUAGGUGACCAUGGCCAUCUGGGACUGCCUCCUGGAGUAAUUCAGGUGUGUGGAGGCUACCUGUGUCCUGCACAACUUCAUGAGGAUGGACACGAGGACCAGGAGGGGAUCUGCAUCUCGCCACCAUGUGCCAGAGGAGAAGUCUGCUACUCUGCAGGACAUUUCAAGGAUGGGGUCCAACAACGCAGCAGGAGAGGUAGUCAGUGUGCAGGAGAUCUUCACCUCCUACUUCUUGGAAGAGGGUGCUGUUCCCUGGCAACACCAUAGACUACACUAUGCACCACCAGAGGCUCUUUUUAGAGCCAUUCACAUUGCAAUAUGAGUAUUCUUCCAUUUACUUAGCUAUGUCAACUGCAGUUAUUCAAUUCCCAGUUUCUCUUCCUUUUGAUUUCUACUUCUCAGGUGAGGGUGCUGUUUAGGUAAGGGUGUGAUGUCCGUACAAAAACCAAACAGGCUAUUUCAAAUCACUCAUAUUGAAAAAUGUCGCACAAUUAGACACCCUAUAACCCACACCUACACAUUCAUGUAUCAAUCUGAUUGAUGGAUUGUGUUGUGCAGUAAGCAGGCUCAGGUGUAUAAAUGUGGCUCCUUCCACCUUCAAAGAAUAGGCAAGAGGGCCAACCAUGGAGAAUAGUAAGACACUUCAUUAUUUCUAUAACUACGCUAUAUUGUUUGUCCUCGUGUGUCCAUUCAUGUUUUUCAGCAUAAAGUACUCUGCAGCCACUCAGUCUGGACACCAGGUGAGGCCACACACACAGAUUCCUGUUGAACACGGUCUCUUUAACUACCUUCUUUUCUCAAUAAGUCUCUCUCCUUCACUUCAUCCUUCACUUCAUCUCUCAUCUACUCCAUAAAUCCUCUAUGUUAUAUCAGCUGUGUCGGUGAACCCCUCCCGCAUCUGAACUGUCUACAUAGAGGGCACAGCAUGAUCAGAGAUAUGUUUUGAUGUGAGAGAAGAUGCCAACCCCUAGUCCCGUCAUCCCCACCUCGCCCGCUUUUACACCUCCCUCGCCACCUUCUCUUUCUUCCUCUGUUUUUAUGAUACACAACAGAUGUGCAUUGAAGUACAGUUUGAACUUGUAUUUAUAAUGUUACAAUUAUAAUAUUUAGAAUGCAU